GGAGAGAUGCGAGAGUGGUUGAAUCGGGCGGUCUCGAAAACCGUUAUGUCCGCAAGGACAUCGAGGGUUCGAAUCCCUCUUUCUCCG
RNAcentral lists this transfer RNA (87 nucleotides) under Termitinemataceae bacterium. RNAcentral describes it as "tRNA-Ser". It matches the Rfam family "tRNA". From Rfam's summary of the family: Transfer RNA (tRNA) molecules are approximately 80 nucleotides in length. Their secondary structure includes four short double-helical elements and three loops (D, anti-codon, and T loops). Lineage: Bacteria; Pseudomonadati; Spirochaetota; Spirochaetia; Spirochaetales; Termitinemataceae. The record is from RNAcentral.